UCAGGACGAACGCUGGCGGCGUGCUUCAUACAUGCAAGUCGAACGAGAAUCUGGCUUCGGUCAGAGGAAAGUGGCGGACGGGUGAGUAAUGUGUAGAGAAUCUGCCCUUUAGCGGGGGACAACAGUUGGAAACGACUGCUAAUACCCCAUAUGCGCGUAGCUGAGAUGCUAUUCGUGAAAACUCCGGUGCUAAAGGAUGAGUCUGCAUCUGAUUAGCUAGUUGGGGGUGUAAUGGACCACCAAGGCGACGAUCAGUAGCUGGUUUGAGAGGAUGAUCAGCCACAAUGGGACUGAGACACGGCCCAUACUCCUACGGGAGGCAGCAGUAGGGAAUUUUGCGCAAUGGGGGAAACCCUGACGCCAGCAACGCCGCGUGAUUGAAUAAGCCCCUCGGGGUGUAAAGAUCUGUCAGUGGGGACGAAACUUGACGGUACCCACAGAGGAAGCAUCGGCUAACUCCGUGCCAGCCGCUGC
Molecule: ribosomal RNA, 474 nt
Filed under: uncultured bacterium
Lineage: Bacteria
Description: bacterial SSU rRNA
Rfam family: Bacterial small subunit ribosomal RNA
Source: RNAcentral